RNAcentral lists this long non-coding RNA (432 nucleotides) under Callithrix jacchus (white-tufted-ear marmoset). RNAcentral describes it as "lncRNA (ENSCJAG00000076629.1)". Lineage: Eukaryota; Metazoa; Chordata; Mammalia; Primates; Cebidae. The record is from RNAcentral.
GGAAGGCUGGCAUCAUCAACAAGGAGGAUUGACUAGGAGCCCUAAGAACAAUAAGUAGCCAAAAAAGUGCUUCUUUUCUUGCAGGACUGAGAAUUUCCUUACCCCACUGAGAGAUACUGAGAGGACAGAGGAAGGAGGACCUUGCAAAAACAAAUGGUGUGGCCCAGAAAGUCUCUGGUUCACCUUCUCAGAGACCCAAGGAAAUCAUGAGACAUGGCUCUACAGGUUGAAGAUUUGUUGCAUAGAAAUCUCACCCUGAUGGGAGAAGAAUGCUAGAUGAACUUUAUUACUAUAAAGCAAUUAAGUGAAAAUUAGAUAAUCACAAGGUGGGAAAAGCUCAUUAAUUAGAAGACCAGAAAAGCACAGCAGGCUUCUGAGAUGAAAUACUUAUGAAAAAGCAGGUAUGUGUAAUAGUUUUUACGGCAGAGUCAA